RNAcentral lists this ribosomal RNA (430 nucleotides) under Bacteroidota bacterium. Its description in RNAcentral is "Bacteroidetes bacterium partial 16S ribosomal RNA". It matches the Rfam family "Bacterial small subunit ribosomal RNA", at positions 355 to 776 of the family's 1533-position model. Lineage: Bacteria; Pseudomonadati; Bacteroidota. The record is from RNAcentral.
UAGGGAAUCUUCGGCAAUGGGGGGAACCCUGACCGAGCAACGCCGCGUGAGUGAAGAAGGUUUUCGGAUCGUAAAGCUCUGUUGUUAAGGAAGAACGAGUGUGAGAAUGGAAAGUUCAUACUGUGACGGUACUUAACCAGAAAGGGACGGCUAACUACGUGCCAGCAGCCGCGGUAAUACGUAGGUCCCGAGCGUUGUCCGGAUUUAUUGGGCGUAAAGCGAGCGCAGGCGGUCAAUUAAGUCUGAUGUGAAAGCCCCCGGCUCAACCGGGGAGGGUCAUUGGAAACUGGUUGACUUGAGUGCAGAAGAGGAGAGUGGAAUUCCAUGUGUAGCGGUGAAAUGCGUAGAUAUAUGGAGGAACACCAGUGGCGAAGGCGACUCUCUGGUCUGUAACUGACGCUGAGGUUCGAAAGCGUGGGGAGCGAACAGG